Molecule: ribosomal RNA, 387 nt
Filed under: uncultured bacterium
Lineage: Bacteria
Description: bacterial SSU rRNA
Rfam family: Bacterial small subunit ribosomal RNA
Source: RNAcentral
AUUAAACGCUGGCGGCAUGCCUUACACAUGCAAGUCGAACGGCAGCACGGGGGCAACCUUGGUGGCGAGUGGCGAACGGGUGAGUAAAGCAUCGGAACGUGCCCUGGAGUGGGGGAUAACGUAGCGAAAGUUGCGCUAAUACCGCAUAUUCUGUGAGCAGGAAAGCAGGGGACCGCAAGGCCUUGCGCUCUUUGAGCGGCCGAUGUCAGAUUAGCUAGUUGGUGAGGUAACGGCUUACCAAGGCGACGAUCUGUAGCGGGUCUGAGAGGAUGAUCCGCCACACUGGAACUGAGACACGGUCCAGACUCCUACGGGAGGCAGCAGUGGGGAAUUUUGGACAAUGGGCGCAAGCCUGAUCCAGCCAUGCCGCGUGAGUGAAGAAGGCCU